Long non-coding RNA from Trifolium pratense (red clover), 1439 nucleotides. RefSeq lists it as uncharacterized. The transcript is spliced from 3 exons. Lineage: Eukaryota; Viridiplantae; Streptophyta; Magnoliopsida; Fabales; Fabaceae. The record is from RefSeq and is a predicted model, not a curated record.
GUUUCCACACACAAAUCGUCUUAUUGAAGGAAAUAUGAACAAACAACAACAACAACAAUCGUCUCAUUUUUCUCUGAGAAUCGUUCAACCCUAACUUUCGUUUGAUUCUGAGAUCAGAAUUGUUCAAUUGAGUUUAAGUUCAACACUAAGUUUCGUUUGAUUCUGAGAGAAUCGUUCAACUUCAGUUCAACUUCGAUUCAGAAUCGUUAAUCAUCCCUCAAGGUUCAGAAUCUUUCAAUUGAAUUUCAGUUCUCUCAAGCUUCGAUUCAGCAAAUUCUUCUCAGCUUCUCAAGCUUCGAUUCAGUUUCUCAGCAAAGCUUCAAUUCAUAACCUCUCAAGCUUCAAUUUAGUUAUGUUCAUCGUUCAACUUCAGCUUCAAUUUAUAAUUUUGUUAAUUUUUUUCUAGUUAUUUUUCCAAUGUUCCCUAUAAAUUGGUAAUUAGGUAAUUGGAAAUUUGUCCUAUGAAGCAUUGAUUUGUUGAUUGGUUUAUAUGGUUCAUAUGAAGCAUUAUAAGUAUGGUUCAUAUGAAGCAUUAUAAGUAUGGUUUAUGUGAAGCAUUAUAAUGAGCAUAUGAAAUGCUUCAUGUUUGGAUAGCAUUAAAACUCUUGACUUAAUCAAUUGUUGCGAAAUCCUGAACAAAUUUUUGUGAAAUUGUUGUUAUGAUAGGUUGAAGAAGUUGUGAAGAUGAUGGAAAUUGAGUUGGGAAGUGGAUGGAUAGCUCAUCAGCACUGUAAGGGCAGGAAGGUUCAAUCGGUACUGCUGUUACUUGGCGGCCGUGAAAUACCUCCAACAGUACCUUCCAUGCCACUGACGAAAAUAACCGGGAUGCUAACAAAUACUCUAACUAGCGGACAAUUAAUUUUGUGGCACGAUAUCUUGAAGAUUGGGGGAGAAGACAACGAUGAUGGAUGGUUUAUUGAUAAUGUGUGUAAUGUUCUUGGCGUUGGCACCAUAGAUGGUUGGGUCCAGUUUGGUUAUAGAAUCUUGAUCCUAGUUUGUUUAGCAAAGCUGCAAACCCAGGGGCCUCUCAGAGGCUGAUGAGAAUUGGAAUUGGCAGACGUCUUGCUGCCAGGAGAGAGGGAAACUGCCACCGAAAAGUUGAGCAUUCUGUCAGAGUUCAAACCUAGUUUAUAUAAGUAUAGUCAUGAUAUCCACAUACAUAAUGUCAUUGUCCAAAGAUACCAUUUUAUUAUAGACCUUCAACUCUAGUUAGUACUAUAAAGAAAGAUAUUUAGUCAAUAUGUGUUAUUAGUAUACAUUUUUAUAAAUUUGGUACUAUGCUAUCAGAGUGUUCUGUUUUUCCCACUCAAUCAAUAGUUUUUUUCUCUAGAUAUUAUGCUUUGUCAACCAUAAUCAAGAAUUUAAUGGAGGACAAAACUAGUUAACAACCUGUUGCCAAUUUGUUUUGAAAAAUUUAAUUAAUCCAUUGUCUUAAUUUA